UGUAUAAUCACUAAAGGGAGAAUUGAAAGUAAGUUUCAAUUCACAAUCGAUUUGAAAGAGUUCUAAUCCCCCACUGCCUCGCUAAAAGGAACCUAAUAGAUCGUACACCGUGUAAGGUAGAGAUUGAAGAAAUAAAGGAGAUGAGUAAGAAUAAUUAAAUGGUUUGAUUAUUUAUUUAUGGCAAGGAUUAAUUAAUAUGUUAAUUAAUCAAACGAAUAAAGUUCGUUAAAAGACCACGGGUUAGUUUUGGGCCUCAAGGCCCAAUGGGCUUCGAACGUCAAGUCCAUUAACUUAAGUUGUAUGACAACUUAAUUCACAAAGGCCCAAAAAGCCCAAUAGAACCCUAUGGCUGGCCAUUUAGAGGAAGGGUAGUGAACUUGCUUUAAUUACAAUUUUGCCACUCCAAUGAAUAAAGGUAUAAAUAUGACUUUAUAGCCAAAAUUCAUUUAGGGUUUUUCUUUUGGGGAAAGGAUGAGAACAUAAGCUCUCUUUUCUCUCUAAAGAGGCCGGCCAACCUUGGACGGAUUAGCUAGCAAUCUUUCUCCUCCAAGGUCACUCAUCUCUUCUUCACAUCUCACCUUGGUGUGGAGACUUAGAGGUUCUCAAUCCAUGGAGAAACCUAUUCUUCCAUCCAAAUCCAUGGAUCUAAGAAGCAAGGAAUGAAGGCCCUCUCCUUGGGUGAUUAGCCUUUGCUUAUGCAAAGAGGAAUCUACAAAGGUAUAAAUUUCUCAACUCACUUUGAUUUGAGUUGAGUCUUGGUUCACCUAACUACUAGGCUUUGAAUUUCAUGGGUAAUGUUUUGUUUUGAGUGCAUGCAAGCAUGAUUCCGCCUUUAAUUUGUUAAUUGCUUGCUAUAGAUGUUGCUCAAAUGAACAUGUUUUUCACAAAAUUUCCUUCAAUUAGUCACUACCUUGCAAGCUUUUGGGUUUUAAGCAUCGUUAUAUUCUAAACAGUUAACACUACCGUAUCAUCUCUACUAUAGAGACAAUCAAUUAGAUUACUAUAAUCCAAUCAUUGACUAAUAAAGAACAAUGUUUUGUCAAACAAAACAUUCAUCCAUCUCUACUAUAGUGACGGAAUUAAGUUCCUUAAAAUUGGAUUGUAAAGACAAUCUUUAGUUUUUCCAAUUUCUUUGGUAGUUCAUAUGAGGAAGUAAGUACUAUCUGCUUUCGCAGAGAUCUUUAUUUUAU
RNAcentral lists this long non-coding RNA (1190 nucleotides) under Malus domestica (apple). Its description in RNAcentral is "long non-coding RNA (MDOM_LNC018687)". The record is from RNAcentral. Lineage: Eukaryota; Viridiplantae; Streptophyta; Magnoliopsida; Rosales; Rosaceae.